This 51-nucleotide small RNA is filed under the name Staphylococcus aureus. RNAcentral describes it as "HMPRFS0000_1508". The record is from RNAcentral. Lineage: Bacteria; Bacillati; Bacillota; Bacilli; Caryophanales; Staphylococcaceae.
UACAUGCAUCAUAUGUUUAUCCAAAGCCACACCAGUAACUGCUUUUUUCUC